Molecule: long non-coding RNA, 560 nt
Organism: Pogoniulus pusillus (Red-fronted tinkerbird)
Lineage: Eukaryota; Metazoa; Chordata; Aves; Piciformes; Lybiidae
Exons: 3
Source: RefSeq, a predicted model, not a curated record
GUCCUUAACAGCAUCUACAUGAAAUGGUCAGGGAGAACAUUUCAUUGGCCAGCCUGGAGGAGUUUGAAUUGUCUCUAGUGAAGAGCAACCAGGAUAAAAGCAAACCUGUGGAAGCAAAAAACUCAAGGAUACAAGGGACAGAUGUCCAAGCAUUAUACUGACCUAAUGGCCAGCUGGGGGCAGCCAGGUGCUGACAGCUCAGAGAGUGAGAAGAAGCAAGCAAAUGGACCAAAACUGAGAGUCACUGGUGCACAAAUGCAGGUGCAGAAACAGGAGAAGACCAAAAGAGAGACUUGCUCCUGAGACACCAAAACCUGGGAAUCAGGUGUCUGAGCAACCAAAGAACUCUGUCCACGCAGCAAAUUAUCCAGGACUGGAUCACAUAUUCAUUGAUCUGACUUUGUGACUGCCCAGGUGUGUACCCAGCCAGUCUCCUCACUGAAUCCAAACAACAAGGUACAGAUCAUGGAGUCACAGAAGUAGGUAGGCAGUGUUGUUGUCCUUGUAUUGAUCUCUGCUGAGUGGUGGCACAAAGACAGGAACAGAAUAAAAGGGAAUCA